This 253-nucleotide ribosomal RNA is filed under the name uncultured bacterium. Its description in RNAcentral is "partial 16S ribosomal RNA". It matches the Rfam family "Bacterial small subunit ribosomal RNA", at positions 524 to 776 of the family's 1533-position model. The record is from RNAcentral.
UACAGAGGUCUCAAGCGUUGUUCGGAUUCAUUGGGCGUAAAGGGUGCGUAGGCGGCGCGGUAAGUCGGGUGUGAAAUCUCGGAGCUUAACUCCGAAACUGCAUUCGAUACUGCCGUGCUUGAGGACUGGAGAGGAGACUGGAAUUCCCGGUGUAGUGGUGGAAUGCGUAGAUAUCGGGAGGAACACCAGUGGCGAAGGCGGCUUCCUGGACCGGUUCUGACACUGAGGAGCGAAAGCGUGGGGAGCGAUCCGG